ACCCCAAACCCAUCUCCUCCUCGCUCCAAUUGCUCCCUUCCCUCCCAUCUCCCCUCCCGUGUCUUCCUUCUCUGCGGCCGUUGUGGAGGCACUCGGGUCCGACGAAGCCCCAGAUGGCGGCGGAGGAUUCGAGGUUGAGGAGGCAUCCGCCACUGCUGCUCGUCUCGACGUUGAGGGUCGAUGCCGAUAAGGAUACUUACCGGCGGCAAUCCUUUGCGCACGGAGGAUGUUCUCCCUUCUUUUCCACCAGAUCAGUGCAGCGACGACGGCGAGCAGAAACACAAACGAAGCCCCAAAAGCAAUGCCAAUUUUAGCAGCAACAGAUAGACGAGGACCACAUGAAGCCCUGUGAAGUGGAAGUCCUCCAAGGCUUGCAGGAACUCUUCCAGAUAAAAGAUUCCCAUUGAGAUUCCUACAAGAAAGUUAUAUAAAAG
This is a long non-coding RNA of Musa acuminata subsp. malaccensis (wild Malaysian banana), 434 nucleotides long. RefSeq lists it as uncharacterized. The record is from RefSeq and is a predicted model, not a curated record. Lineage: Eukaryota; Viridiplantae; Streptophyta; Magnoliopsida; Zingiberales; Musaceae.